RNAcentral lists this unclassified non-coding RNA (186 nucleotides) under fungal sp. Its description in RNAcentral is "partial internal transcribed spacer region". The stretch from base 1 to 46 matches the Rfam family "Eukaryotic small subunit ribosomal RNA", at positions 1786 to 1831 of the family's 1831-position model. The record is from RNAcentral. Lineage: Eukaryota; Fungi.
AAGUCGUAACAAGGUUUCCGUAGGUGAACCUGCGGAAGGAUCAUUAUUGAAUUUAUUCUCUAUCUAUGUGAACCAAAAAACCUGAGACUCGCUUUUGCGUGACUCAAUAAUUUUUUACUUAUAAAACUUUUGAUAUACUCUAAAAUAGUAUAAAUACAACUUUUAGCAACGGAUCUCUUGGUUCUC